UCAGAAUUAAACUUCAAACUGAGGUAUCUACAGCAGAAAACAAUCACACCAUCACUGAAGUGAACCUGAAGACAGCUCAACUCCACCGUUCUUCACAAACCAACUUACAGUGAA
Long non-coding RNA from Austrofundulus limnaeus, 114 nucleotides. RefSeq lists it as uncharacterized. The record is from RefSeq and is a predicted model, not a curated record. Lineage: Eukaryota; Metazoa; Chordata; Actinopteri; Cyprinodontiformes; Rivulidae. The transcript is spliced from 2 exons.